This is a long non-coding RNA of Lolium rigidum, 3424 nucleotides long. RefSeq lists it as uncharacterized. Lineage: Eukaryota; Viridiplantae; Streptophyta; Magnoliopsida; Poales; Poaceae. The transcript has 4 exons. The record is from RefSeq and is a predicted model, not a curated record.
CUCUACGGCGGGGGCUUGCCGGCCAGAGUGGCGGUGGACAGUGCAACCCAGCAAACGGCUAUGUUGGGCUUGGUGCUGGUUUUGCGUCCUUUCUCCCCUUUUGGCGAGGGCCUACUACAGGGUCAAAAAUUUGGAGGGAAAUGUAGGGUGAGCUCCCCAUGAACACUCAAGGAGGUGGCCUCAAUGCAACUGAUGUUGUUCAUGUGGGAAGAUAGAUCGUCUUGGUUCAAGGGAAGAAAGUUUGUAUAAAUGGGAGUCAAGCGGCAAAACAUCAUUGGCCUCCCUGACGGCAUGACCGUCAAGGCCAUGGACCUCUGGAUGGUAUGUCUACCUUUCAUGGCAUUCGAGGACUGCUUUCAGACGACAUGGAUGAUUGAUCUUGAUCAUUUUAUUAUGUUGUUAUCGUUUUUGUUUGUCGCAACACAAGUCACUGGCUGCCAAGUUCACGGAUAAGAUAUUUCUCGUUGUCGAGGCAAAAAGAAUUAUCUUCUAUCUCAGACACUCUUCUAUGGUAUCAAUUUCUUCAAUGCUUGUAGCAUAAUUUGUUGGAGAAAAAAGAAUGUCUAUUUUCAUGGAGAUCGUACUGUAUUGUUUCAAAAGUACCUUUUUAGGUGGCUUGCAGUGGCUUAUUCUCUGAAUUGGUUUUGCAGGUGUGAAGAAGGUAAGGGGGUUAUCGCGUGAUUGUCUUCGACAUGUGGGGGUGACGGCCUUUGCUGACUAAAUAUGUAAACAAUGAAUAGAAAUCAUUCAGGCCAAUGUUUGAUUUAUAUUUUUGGAAGAAGAGACAUUUCAGGUUUGAGGAUGUGCGAGCAACACUGAUGGUACCAGAGGCUGACUAGGCACUCCAUUGCCAUUUCUGAGUCUCACAUGCCACCCUCGCUAUCGCUGCAUACAAAUGUUAUCCACUUCAUCUUGCUUCAUGUCCCAGGUAUGAGUUGUUGCAUGCUCUUCAUUGUUCUAUCGGUCUACUGGUACAUAGUAUGCGUGUCCUUCUCCAUUGUGUUCUGGGUCUGCUGGUCCAGAGACUUACGUUGAGCACGUUUCUACACUUGGCACACAAUGAACUCAAUUCUAUAGGCUUCUUGAAGUCCUACCUUUGGGUGAGUCAAAUUUUCUUGAGAUUCUAGAAUCCGUGUCCUGGGAUUUCAGUACAUCUCAGGAAACAAAUUGGAAACUUUUAUGUUGUUCUUUCCAGGAGUUCUUUUCUCGAUUUGGUUUUCAAGUUUAUUCCAGAGCCAACCUUUGUGCCAACCACUGAUGCAAGCAAGAAAGAAGCUUUAAUGAACAAUCUUUGGGGAUAAGUACAUCAUCAUAUAAUUUUGUUAUCUUACUAAAAAUAGGACGACUGAGUAGAAUUAGUUCUUUUUUGUGGAAACUAGACUGAUGAUGAUGGUUCGGGUAAAGAUAAAAUGAAAAAGUGGUAAGAAACUAAGAAUGUGUCUAAAUCAAUAAGCUCACUUGUUUUAUCAGUCUUGCACUUGUCAAACUUUCUUUUAGGUGACAUUAUUAUUUGUAGUAUUUCAUGCCACACGAGGUUCCUCAAUAAAAUUAUGUGAAGUUUUUCUUCCUUGAAGAUACAAUCAUUUGUCUAAAUACUUACUCUGAGUUGCAGCAAUCAGCUUGCACUAUUUUCAUGAGGGAGUGGUGGUAUUUCUUGGAUCUGUGAAGAUAAUACCUUUUUAAUUUAUGUUAAUAUACUAUCAUAAUUGAUCUUCUAAAGAGGGGUUAGGCCUACACCUUCCAUUUUCUCUCAGUAGAGAAGUUAUCGGGGGCUAGCUUGGUUGUUUCAGCUUCGGAGAUUUAAUUUACCAUAUCUGAUUAUUUAGUUGCUUGCUUUGAUUAUAUUGGUGUUAUGAAGAAAUGCAGGGUGUUCGCUUGGGAGUUAACUUUUGCUAUUUCCUUCCAUAACAUACCCGUUUUUGGUCAGUAACGUGAAUAUUCUUAUCUGAAGCUGUGUGUUGCAUCCUUGCCACUUUGAAUAUCCCUUGCAUCGUUGUUUUAACAAGAGUCGGCUUCCUUUAUUAUUUUGCUUUUAUAAUGCACCAAGUCAGAAGGGUCACACUGAUCUGUGUAGAGCUUAUAUGCUAUUAAACUUUGAGAUUUUUGACAUACGCUAGGUCUGCACGCUAUGCAAGUUAUGUCGUUGCGAGCGCUCGUAGGUUGCAUGUAUAAUAUUCCUUUUUAUCGGGUCUAUUUCAGUUUGAUGCUGAGUGAGUUUAAUUGAAUUAGGCGGCGUUAAACAGAUUUUGUCUUUUCCUUUGCACUGAACUUGGCAGGGAUUGAUUUCCCAUUUGCGGCGGAAAGCAAUCCUCUGUUCAUAUGUUAAUUAGACUCCUCAAGCUUCAGCUGAAUAAUUUAUAUUUAGAACUAUGUCUACUUAACUAGGAUCACAUAUCCAUUUGUUGCAUAAAUAAUCUUUAUAAAUUAUGUAUGAAAAAAUAACUAUUACCAUUAUAUGUUUUGAUGAAUGGGUCGCCUAGCUCUCUCUCUCUCUCUCUCUCGGUGUGAUGUGUCUAUGUGUUUAUAUGUUCAUCUGUAUGUUUCAUGGAUUUGACAUUGUAAUGAAUUCACAAUUCUGGCUAACAUAUGCUUUUGUAGAAGCUACAUGAUCUUGACGCUUUAUUCGGGCUCAUGAAUAUAAAUAACUUGUUUAUUUACUUUUAUGUAGCUGUAUUGCUUAAUUUUUUUGAUAAUGACUUCUGUACAUCUUAAUUUCUGAAUGCAAGCAGCUGAUAGUGAAAGAUGUUGCAGCUCAUGGUAUAAAUGUUACUUUGACUUGUGACCCAUCUGCAACUUCGAUCCUUGUGCCUAGCAUUCUUCCAACUAUCCACACUUGAACUAUGCUAACAUUCUGUUGAUCAUGUACUUGCUACUCUGAUUGCUAAGUUGAAAAUAUUUAUCCAUGUUUGACCCAGGUGGAGAAACGUACAGACCUAUCGACAAGGAGGAGCUAAAGACAAACACUCAAGAGGAGGGGGACUCUGUUGGUGAGGGCACACUCGACACAAGGUGGAUCUGCUACUUGAAGUUACCAUUUGUAGCCAUUUUGGAUGCUGCCCUCCAAUACCUGCAUACUUGAUGAGUAUUGACAAUGCGAUCCUGCAGUAUCAUGUGUUUAGUUCUUUUGUCUAUUUGGUGUUUCUUCAUUCAAGUUAAUGUUUGUGAAUAAGAAAUUUCUGGUGUUGUAUGCAUAUCUCGUGCAAGAGCUGUCAAUGCUUCAACCUGAAUUUGUUGCCAAAUACUGAUGCACUGGUUUAGGAUUUCUGAACAACCCAUUAUGGAGAAAAUGGAAUGGCAGAUAAGUCGAAAUGAUUAUGCGUUUUGUUUUACUGUGUGUGGUUAUGGUACUUAGCCUUUAAUUUGUUCGCGUCCAUCACCUUUAAUUGUACUGGGCUAACUGCGAAUGGGACACUUAUGCAUCAGA